Molecule: long non-coding RNA, 431 nt
Filed under: Homo sapiens (human)
Lineage: Eukaryota; Metazoa; Chordata; Mammalia; Primates; Hominidae
Description: deleted in lymphocytic leukemia 1
Source: RNAcentral
GUAUUCUCCACUGGUUGAAUGCAAAUGGAAGCCAGAGGAAAAGGGAACCCUUGACACAGUUUUCAUAUAGAUUGGCCUCCAGGGCAGACAGCAGUUGCUCUGGCUAUAUCAAAUAAAAGUGUCAAGAGUGAGCAUCCUUGCCUUGUGCUGAAUCACAAAGGAAUACCUUUCAGUUUUUCUCCAUUGAUUAUGAUAGCAGUGGGCUUUUCACAGUGGGCUUUACUGUGUUGAGGAGGAGGUCUGAUGGCCGGGAGGACAGGAAGAAGGAACCCACAAUGAAGCAAAAGUUGCGUUUAACUCUGUCCUCACCAUUCCUCUCCUGGACCUGUCCUAAACUGGAAGCUGGGGGAGGAUGGAGUGCUGGAAUGCUGCAGAAGUCUCAUGGGAGGGCGCCUGGUGUUCACCACAUGUGUACACUGUUGCACGACCAG